AUUCGAAAUUUGUAGUUAAUAAUGCAUAUGAAUUUCAGCUCCCGCAAAAGUAGACUGUAGUACUUUUGGGUAAGAAAUAGGCACACGGGGGGCCAGGUCGUAUCUAGAUAAAAAUAAAAUUUGAAUUAUUGACUGUGACUUGAGACCUGCAGCCCACAUCUCCAGUUCUCCACCCAGACUCUCACAUCCAUUUUCUUUGACCAGUAUCCCACUUGGCCGCCGCCGGCCACCGGAAACCUCUUCCGAUGAGGUCCUUACCUCUCCCCCUCCUCCUCCUCCUCUUCCACGUCCUCUCUCCUACUCUCGCCCUCGACUUCCUAUUCAACUCCUUCUCCAACGUCUCCAACGCCACCGACUUCACUCUCAUCAACGACGCCAGACUCGACGCCUCCACCGUCCGCCUCACAAACGACUCCGUUCAGUACUCACUCGGCCGCCUCUUCCACACCACCAAGCUCACCAUGAGACCUAAUUCCACCUCCGCUUCCCUCGCUUCCUUUUCAACCUCCUUCGUCUUCUCCGAUCUCCCCGAAAUCGCUUCCAGCCCAGGCUUCGGCCUCUGCUUCGUCCUCUCCAACUCCACCUCUCCCCCCAACGCCCUCGCCAGCCAGUACUUCGGUCUCUUCUCAAACGCAACCCAGGUCGUAGCUCCCUUACUCGCCGUCGAAUUCGACACGGGCCGAAACACCGAGUUCAACGAUCCCGACGGAAACCACAUCGGAAUCGACCUCAACAGGGUCAUAUCGGAGGUCACUAGGCCCGCCGGCUACUACAAUUCCACCGGCGGCUUCGUUCCGGUUCAGAUGCGGAGCGGCGAGAACGUCCGGACUUGGAUCGAAUUCGACGGUGAUAAUCUCGAAAUCAACGUCACCGUGGCUCCGGCUAAUCUGCCACGGCCUACUCUGCCUACGCUGAGCUUCAAAGACCCAAGGAUUGCGAACUACGUGUCGUCGGAGAUGUUCGUUGGGUUUUCGGCGUCGAAAACGGAGUGGAUUGAGGCGCAGAGAAUUUUGGCUUGGAGUUUCAGUGACACUGGGGUUGCUAAAGAGAUCAACGUGACCAAUUUGCCUGUCUUCAAGCUCGAGGCUUCUUCGAAAUCCUUGCCUAAGGGAGCCAUUGCUGGUAUUACAAUAGGUUGCGUUUUGUUUGUGGUGACUUCAGCUUAUGGAGUGUACUUGUAUUGGAGGAAGAAGAAGCUGGAGGAUGAAGAAGAUGAUGAGAUUGAGGAUUGGGAGAUGGAGUAUUGGCCCCAUCGAUUUUCGAAUGAAGAGCUGAGUGAGGCUACUGGUGGAUUUUCGAAAGAUCAGCUUUUGGGUUCUGGUGGAUUUGGGAAGGUUUACAGAGGAGUUUUAUCGAACAAGACGGAGAUAGCAGUGAAAUGUGUGAACCAUGAUUCGAAGCAGGGGUUGAGAGAAUUUAUGGCAGAGAUUUCGAGCAUGGGGAGACUGCAGCAUAAGAAUUUGGUCCAAAUGCGAGGGUGGUGCAGAAAAGGAAACCAGCUCAUGCUUGUGUAUGACUACAUGCCUAAUGGGAGCCUCAACAGGUGGAUUUUCGACAGGCCGAAGAAGGUUUUGGGGUGGGGGCAACGGCGGCGUGUGUUGGCAGACGUGGCGGAGGGGCUGAACUAUCUGCACCACGGCUGGGACCAAGUGGUGGUUCAUAGAGACAUUAAGUCGAGCAAUAUAUUGCUGGACUUGGAAAUGAGAGGCAGGCUUGGUGAUUUUGGAUUGGCCAAGCUGUAUGGGCACGGUGAAGUGCCUAAUACCACUCGUGUGGUCGGCACGAUGGGGUACUUGGCGCCGGAGCUGGCUACCAUAGCGUCACCAACAGCAGCGACUGAUGUGUAUAGCUUUGGAGUGGUGUUGUUGGAAGUGGCGUGUGGAAGGAGGCCUAUUGAAAUGGGGGCAGAGGAGGAGGAGGAGGCAGUGCUGAUCGAUUGGGUGAAAGAGUUGUAUUCGAAAGGGAGGGUGAGAGAGGCGGCGGACCAGAGAAUUAAAGGGGAGUAUGAUGAGGAGGAGAUGGAGGUUGUAUUGAAGCUUGGGUUGGCUUGUUGUCAUCCUGAUCCUCAGAGAAGGCCUAGCAUGAAGGAAAUUGCGGCAAUUUUGGUUGGCGAGACAGUGUCCGAGCCAGCACCUGCCGCAUUGUUAUCAGAACUAGCACGCGGCGAGGGUGGUGAUGGUGCCGGCAGAGAGGAAGAAUCAGGGGAAGUAGCAUUCCAACCCCAGCAUUCAGUGUGAAUAUGUGUUUUGGUUGAACAACACUUUCCUCCCAUCUUUUUCGGCUACACACACUCAUGCUUGAUGUUCAGUUCAACGCACCGUUGCAUCUCAGUGCGUUUGCUGGUGCUGUUCCCAAGUUGCCAAACCUCCAGCAUUUGGAGUUGGUUAUAUAUUCUAGCUGAUGAUCCAUGGGGCCUUCGUCGAUUAGCUGCUUUCCUCCAGGCGUCUCCACACUCGAAGAAACUUGUGCUCCAGGUACGUGUUCCUCCAACUUGGUGGACUAAUGACAUCACAUGUUGCGACAUGGUUUUUGUGCUCUCACUUUCGGCUACAUUGUUCACCCCCUACAUUUACAUUCGCAUGCUUGUACGACCGCUAUUAUUACGAUCGAUAUACUCACGAUCUCUGUUGGACAAUUAUACAACUAUAACUCCUGUCUUGUAAUGGUAGAAAGACUUGAAACUGUGUAUUAGACGACUGUCUCCUUUUUUUAUCUCCCUCAAGCUGAUCUUUCUUGCAGUUUUGUUGGGUUCAAGACUUCUGAUGUUUACUUGCAUGGUCAAAAAAAAAAAAAAAAACAAAAAGAAGAAGAAGACUUGCGACUUUUGAGGUUAAAAGGAUUCAUAAACCACAAGGGUGUUUUGUCCUAGUUUAGCCGUUGUUUUGUAUGAUAUGAUAUAACUUCUUUUUGGUAAUGGAGGCAAGACAUGAAAGCUUGUGGUUACUUUUACUUGUUUUUCUUUUGCUGAA
RNA transcript from Rosa rugosa (rugosa rose), 2969 nucleotides. It is a transcript of the gene named L-type lectin-domain containing receptor kinase S.1, with no coding region annotated. The transcript is spliced from 3 exons. The record is from RefSeq and is a predicted model, not a curated record. Lineage: Eukaryota; Viridiplantae; Streptophyta; Magnoliopsida; Rosales; Rosaceae.